AAUUCCUGAGAGCAAAUUCCCCACUACGCCUAUGGCGCAGCAGCCCAGGAGUUUCUUUCUUUUGCAUCAAACCAGAACUCUGCUGGGAUAUUGAUGUUUUUCCCAGGAUGUCCCUCUAAUGUGGGGGGAGAAAAGAACUGUAAAGAUCUAGUCUGAAGCCCGUGAGCCUGCACGGCCCAGUGGAAGGGAGGAAGGAGCCUGUGACAAACGUUUAUUACGGAGUAUGAAAAUCAGGAAGCUUUUUGUUCACUUCAUACAUCUCCUCCAACAAAGCCAGGCAUCAGCACCCCGGCACAGACUCCGGAGUGAUUAUUGUUACACAUGAUCUAUGGAGCAGAUAAAUUACAGCUUGAUUUUUAUAAGGCGCCGGAGCCCCGGAAAGCGGUGGGGUAGAGCUGUGAAUCCUAGCAACAGGAGGAGAGAGAGAACUGUACGUUUCUUCACGUCCUCCAAGUGCUGGUGCCUUCUGGUACAUCAUUUACAGGGAGCAACAGAGACCUUGGAAAGGCCCUUCAUGCCGUUACAUCAAGAAAGGGACAGUUUUCCCAGCGGGGUGGGUGAAUUAUUACGUUUUGGGGGGCAAAGCAAACAAAGCAGCACACCAGAGCUCAUACUGGUGCUGCCGUUGCGCUUUCCUUCAUCAUAACGCGCUGCCUAUCGCUGAGGGGUUUUCUCAAUUUUCUAUGCUUUUAGU
This 694-nucleotide long non-coding RNA is filed under the name Calidris pygmaea (Spoon-billed sandpiper). Its description in RNAcentral is "lncRNA (ENSCPGG00000009906.1)". Lineage: Eukaryota; Metazoa; Chordata; Aves; Charadriiformes; Scolopacidae. The record is from RNAcentral.